This 497-nucleotide ribosomal RNA is filed under the name uncultured bacterium. RNAcentral describes it as "partial 16S ribosomal RNA". It matches the Rfam family "Bacterial small subunit ribosomal RNA", at positions 28 to 507 of the family's 1533-position model. The record is from RNAcentral.
GAUGAACGCUGGCGGCGUGCCUAAUACAUGCAAGUCGAGCGAACAGACGAGGAGCUUGCUCCUCUGACGUUAGCGGCGGACGGGUGAGUAACACGUGGAUAACCUACCUAUAAGACUGGGAUAACUUCGGGAAACCGGAGCUAAUACCGGAUAAUAUAUUAAACCGCAUGGUUCAAUAGUGAAAGACGGUUUUGCUGUCACUUAUAGAUGGAUCCGCGCCGCAUUAGCUAGUUGGUAAGGUAACGGCUUACCAAGGCAACGAUGCGUAGCCGACCUGAGAGGGUGAUCGGCCACACUGGAACUGAGACACGGUCCAGGCUCCUACGGGAGGCAGCAGUAGGGAAUCUUCCGCAAUGGGCGAAAGCCUGACGGAGCAACGCCGCGUGAGUGAUGAAGGUCUUCGGAUCGUAAAACUCUGUUAUUAGGGAAGAACAAAUGUGUAAGUAACUAUGCACGUCUUGACGGUACCUAAUCAGAAAGCCACGGCUAACUACGUG